UCUCUGUUAGUAUAUCGGUUAGUACACGCGCCUGUCAUGGAGCGUCAGUAUCCUGAAAUGUUACGCGCGAAAGCUGGGUUCGACUCCCAGACAGAGAG
Non-coding RNA from Flammula alnicola, 98 nucleotides. The record is from the annotation of a GenBank genome assembly. NCBI's taxonomy places the organism in Eukaryota, Fungi, Basidiomycota, Agaricomycetes, Agaricales, Strophariaceae.